AUACGUAGGUGACAAGCGUUAUCCGGAUUUACUGGGUGUAAAGGGCGUGUAGGCGGUUUAGCAAGUCAGAAGUGAAAUUCCCGGGCUUAACUUGGGCGCUGCUUCUGAAACUGCUUUACUUGAGUGCUGGAGAGGAUAGUGGAAUUCCUAGUGUAGCGGUAAAAUGCGCAGAUAUUAGGAGGAACACCGGUGGCGAAGGCGGCUAUCUGGACAGUAACUGACGCUGAGGCGCGAAAGCACGGGGAGCAAACAGGAUUAGAUACCCUGGUAGUCCGUGCCGUAAACGAUGAAUACUAGGUGUAGGGGGUAUCGACUCCCUCUGUGCCGCAGUUAACACAUUAAGUAUUCCACCUGGGGAGUACGGCCGCAAGGUUGAAACUCAAAGGAAUUGACGGGU
This 397-nucleotide ribosomal RNA is filed under the name uncultured bacterium. RNAcentral's name for it is "partial 16S ribosomal RNA". It matches the Rfam family "Bacterial small subunit ribosomal RNA", at positions 523 to 918 of the family's 1533-position model. The record is from RNAcentral.